This 253-nucleotide ribosomal RNA is filed under the name uncultured bacterium. Its description in RNAcentral is "partial 16S ribosomal RNA". It matches the Rfam family "Bacterial small subunit ribosomal RNA", at positions 524 to 776 of the family's 1533-position model. The record is from RNAcentral.
UACAGAGGGUGCAAGCGUUGUUCGGAAUUAUUGGGCGUAAAGAGCUCGUAGGCGGCGUGUCGCGUCGGAUGUGAAAGCCCGGGGCUUAACUCCGGGUCUGCAUUCGGUACGGGCAAACUAGAGUAUUGCAGGGGAGAGUGGAAUUCCCGGUGUAGCGGUGAAAUGCGCAGAUAUCGGGAAGAACACCCGUGGCGAAGGCGGCUCUCUGGGACGGUACUGACGCUGAGACGCGAAAGCGUGGGGAGCGAACAGG